AUUGAACGCUGGCGGCAGGCUUAACACAUGCAAGUCGAGCGGAAGAAGGGAGCUUGCUCCCGGAUUCAGCGGCGGACGGGUGUGUAAUGCCUAGGAAUCUGCCUCGUAAUGGGGGAUAACGUCCGGAAACGGGCGCUAAUACCGCAAACGCCCUGCGGGAGAAACUGGGUGAUAUUCAGACCUCACGCUAACAGCUGAGCCUAGGUCGGGUUAGCUAGGUAGUGGGGUAAAGGCAUAGCAAGGCGACGAACCGUAACAGAGCUGAGUGUAUGAUAAGUCACACUUGAACAGAGACACGGUCCAGACUCUUACGAGAAGCAGGAGUGGGAAAUCAUGGACGAUGAGCGAAAGCCUGAUCCAGCCAAGCCGCGUGUGUGAAGAAGGUCUUCGGAUCGUAAAGCUCUUUAAGUUGGGAGGAAGGACAGUAAGUAAAUACCUGACUGUUUUGGCGAUACCAACAGAAGAAGCACCGGCUAACUUCGUG
Molecule: ribosomal RNA, 484 nt
Filed under: uncultured bacterium
Lineage: Bacteria
Description: partial 16S ribosomal RNA
Rfam family: Bacterial small subunit ribosomal RNA
Source: RNAcentral